Lathyrus oleraceus (garden pea) is the source of this 107-nucleotide small nucleolar RNA. The record is from RefSeq and is a predicted model, not a curated record. NCBI's taxonomy places the organism in Eukaryota, Viridiplantae, Streptophyta, Magnoliopsida, Fabales, Fabaceae.
AGCCCAUGGAAUGGACAUAAUCUCAACAAGUCCUUAUAACGCUCACAUGCGUCAAAAAAAGAUUCCCCAUCUUCCUACCUAAAAUUAUUAAUCUCAUUCCUAACUUU